Molecule: long non-coding RNA, 1602 nt
Organism: Homo sapiens (human)
Lineage: Eukaryota; Metazoa; Chordata; Mammalia; Primates; Hominidae
Exons: 3
Source: RefSeq, a predicted model, not a curated record
GGCAACCCACUAGAGUCCACUUCCGGCAGUGGAAGCUUUGUUCUUUUGCUCUUUGCAGUAAAUCUUGCUGCUGCUCACUCUUUGGGUCUGCACUGCCUUUAUGAGCUGUUAACACUCACCACGAAGGUCUGCAGCUUCACUCCUGAGGCCAGCAAGACCACAAACCCACUGGGAGGAGUGAACAACUCCAGAUGUUCCACUUUAAGAGCUGUAACACUCACUGUGAAGGUCUGCAACUUCACUCCUGAAGCCAGUGAGACCAUGAACCCACCAGAAGGAAGAAACUCCGAACAAUCUGAACAUCAGAAGGAACAAACUCUGGACACACCAUCUUUAAGAACUGUUAACACUCACUGCGAGGCUCCGUGGCUUCAUUCCUCAAGUCAGUGAGACCAAGAACCCACCAAUUUCGGACACAAUGGGAGCAGACUUCUUUAUGUUCUCAUGAUAGAUGCACUUGCUUCCUCUUCUACCCUGAUUGCAAGUUUCCCGAGGCCUUAUCAGCCCUGCAAAACUGACUGGAGCCCAAGAGCAGGGGAUACCUGAAAUCCUAGGCACUGACAGGAGAACUUCAGACUGGAGAGGAGACCAGCUCUCCUGCAUCCCGGUGCCCUUCCCUAACAGCACAAUGGAACUGGCAAAGGGGCUACAGGACAAUUCCAGGAGCUGCGUGCAUUCUUCAAAAACGUGGUAAGGCCUGAAGCCCCAAGUCAAGACCCAUCCCAUAAGGAUGAAACGGGGGCCUAAUCACUUCCCAGGGUGUGACUACUCGUCUAACACAGAGGGGCUGAGGAAAGUGGGAGUGACCUGCCAGUUUGGAUGAAACUUACAACCUAACUGUCACAGCACAUGAAAGAGGCUCACUAAGUCAGUUUAGGAAAAUAAAAACUGAAACUAGACGUAGCAAGAAUGAGUUGCCACCCUAAUUAAAAAACGUGAACUGGGAGUGAAGAGGCAUGUGAAAGCACAUUAAAGAGACAGUUCUGGGAAGGGCCAACAUGGGGCAUGACAGGUGAAGGCACAGAUCUCUUAAUGUGGACUGUGGGCUCUGGAGCCAGUGUGUGGCUGACCAGAUCUAGAGCGAUCUGUAUAAGGCUGACAGGAGCUGCCCUACAGCUGCAGCAGCUGCAGUGGGAAUACGAUACUGUCCUAGCUAAGCAGUGCAUGAAAUUCCCGUAAUAGGAACCAGUCUGAUCAGUCUGUAACAAAAGGUAGAGUGAGUGUGUGUCAUAAAAGGAGGAAUGGGAGGAAAAUCAUCAAAAGCUUCUCCAUUGGAGUGCAUGUUAAAUAAUUCUGGGAAACGCUUUGGAGGAGAUUAUGGGGUAAAACUGACCCCCCAAAGGUUGAGAACUCUCUGUGAAUUAGACUGGCCUUCUUUUAAUGUUGUGUGGCCUGCCAAAGACACAAUAGAUAGGGAAGAAAUUGGCCAUGUGUUUAAGGAAGUGACAGGGGUUGGAGAACAGCCUGGGAAUCUAGAUCAGUUCCCAUAUAUUGAUUCCUGGUUGAACAUGGUUCUAACACAUCCCAAAUGGAUACAACCUUAUUUGACAAGUUAUUGUAAGUCUCUGGUAGCCUGAGCUAUACCUAAGGAAGUUGAGAAGU